AAUGGUUAUAAUUUAUAACGAACUCAUUUAUUAACAUAAAAACCUUUACUGUCCACUUACCUCGGUGAGAUCCAUGAAAACGACAUAUGAAAACAAUAACCUUAUAGUAUCAUGAAAUCAUACACACUUUAUAACAUAACACAUAUCAUACCUUUACAUUUCAAUCAUCAGAAAACAUAUUUCCUCUUUUACCAGCCUACUAGUAUCCCUGGGGAUCCAUAGGGGGUCCCCGCUACACGUGAACCAUUAACAUUUACAACCUAAUUCCAAGGCCGUCCCCAUACCCCGUCCGGUAUGGGUGCCAAAACACAUAAGGUCUCCAUACCCCGUCCGGUAUGAGAGACCACGUUCCCGGUAGGGUUCCCUACAGACCGGGUCCGUCCAUCAUCUCCCAGGAUAUCUAGUCAGGCUGUCCACAUUAUCCAUUUUGCCUUUUUCCUUGAUCUCAAUCAUCCAAUCAUACACAACAUGUAAACCAGUAAUUGACACCAAAUAAGACAAUACAGUACCGGGUUCACC
Molecule: long non-coding RNA, 519 nt
Filed under: Carica papaya (papaya)
Lineage: Eukaryota; Viridiplantae; Streptophyta; Magnoliopsida; Brassicales; Caricaceae
Description: long non-coding RNA (CPAP_LNC013563)
Source: RNAcentral